Molecule: non-coding RNA, 120 nt
Filed under: Arthrobacter sp.
Lineage: Bacteria; Bacillati; Actinomycetota; Actinomycetes; Micrococcales; Micrococcaceae
Description: TPP sequence
Rfam family: TPP riboswitch aptamer (THI element)
About the family: Vitamin B(1) in its active form thiamin pyrophosphate (TPP) is an essential coenzyme that is synthesised by coupling of pyrimidine and thiazole moieties in bacteria.
Source: RNAcentral
GGCGCAUACCGCGGGAGCCCGCACAAGCCGUCGACGGACGGCAGGGCUGAGAGGGCGUCAGAGCCGACCGCUUGACCUGAUCCGGUUAGUACCGGCGUAGGGAGGAAUCCAUGGACACCU